RNAcentral lists this transfer-messenger RNA (359 nucleotides) under Candidatus Acetothermia bacterium. It matches the Rfam family "transfer-messenger RNA". From Rfam's summary of the family: Bacterial tmRNA, also known as 10Sa RNA or SsrA, is named for its dual tRNA and mRNA-like properties. Its role is to liberate the mRNA from a stalled ribosome. The record is from RNAcentral. RNAcentral also lists the same sequence under 1 other name. Lineage: Bacteria; Candidatus Bipolaricaulota.
GGGGGUGAACGGUCUCGACGGGAAUGCGGAAGUCCGGCGGCAAGCGGAGUUUCUGCCAUCUCCUGCAAAUGGCAGAUCUACCAAUAAAUGCCGACAAUCUGGCAUUCGCUGUCCCCUCUUAUAACUAACUGAGGGGCCGUCCCUGAGGCCCUCGCCCGUGGGGCCUUAGGGGCGUCGACUGAAACGGGCUGGCCUCUUCCCUUCAGCCCGGAAGGGAUGGGGGACGAAACUGAAGGGCUCGGGCCGGAAGAUCCUGUCCCAUGGGAGCUUUCGGCCUCAGAAUAGAGCAUGGGACUAAGCUUGUAGAAGUCGGGUGGAAGCAUUUUCGGACCGGGGUUCGAUUCCCCGCACCUCCACCA